ACGGGAGGCAGCAGUGGGGAAUAUUGGGCAAUGGGCGCAAGCCUGACCCAGCGACGCCGCGUGAGGGAAGAAGGUCUUCGGAUUGUAAACCUCUUUCAGCAGGGAAGACAAAAGGACGGUACCUGCAGAAGAAGUCACGGCUAACUACGUGCCAGCAGCCGCGGUAAUACGUAGGUGGCGAGCGUUAUCCGGAAUUACUGGGUGUAAAGGGUGUGUAGGCGGAGGAGCAAGUCAGGCGUGAAAUGCCAGGGCUCAACCCUGGAAUUGCGCUUGAAACUGUUCCCCUUGAGAGUGGGAGAGGUAAACGGAAUUCCUGGUGUAGUAGUGAAAUGCGUAGAUAUCAGGAGGAACACCGGUGGCGAAGGCGGUUUACUGGACCACAACUGACGCUGAGACACGAAAGCGUGGGGAGCAAACAGGAUUAGAUACCCUGGUA
Molecule: ribosomal RNA, 436 nt
Filed under: uncultured Saccharofermentans sp.
Lineage: Bacteria; Bacillati; Bacillota; Clostridia; Eubacteriales; Oscillospiraceae
Description: partial 16S ribosomal RNA
Rfam family: Bacterial small subunit ribosomal RNA
Source: RNAcentral